RNAcentral lists this ribosomal RNA (198 nucleotides) under uncultured bacterium. Its description in RNAcentral is "partial 16S ribosomal RNA". It matches the Rfam family "Bacterial small subunit ribosomal RNA", at positions 326 to 539 of the family's 1533-position model. The record is from RNAcentral.
ACGCUCGACACCUACGGGAAGCAGCAGUGGGGAAUAUUGCACAAUGGGGGAAACCCUGAUGCAGCGACGCCGCGUGGAGGAAGAAGGUCUUCGGAUUGUAAACUCCUGUUGUUGGGGAAAAAGAGGAUGGUACCCAACAAGGAAGUGACGGCUAACUACGUGCCAACAGCCGCGGUAAUCUGAGCGGGCUGGCAAGGC